GAUGAACGCUAGCUACAGGCUUAACACAUGCAAGUCGCGGGGCAGCAUGGGGGUUGCUUGCAAUCCCCGAUGGCGACCGGCGCACGGGUGAGUAACGCGUAUCCAACCUGCCCUUCACCACGGGAUAACCCGGCGAAAGUCGGACUAAUACCGUAUGUUGUCCAUUGACGGCAUCCGAUUUGGACGAAAGGCUUGGCGGUGAGGGAUGGGGAUGCGUCCGAGUAGCACGACGGCGGGGUAACGGGCCACCGUGGCUACGAUCGGUAGGGGUUCUGAGAGGAAGGUCCCCCACACUGGAACUGAGACACGGUCCAGACUCCUACGGGAGGCAGCAGUGAGGAAUAUUGGUCAAUGGGCGUAAGCCUGAACCAGCCAAGUAGCGUGCAGGAUGACGGCCCUAUGGGUUGUAAACUGCUUUUAUGCGGGGAUAAAGUGGCCCACGUGUGGGCUUUUGCAGGUACCGCAUGAAUAAGGACCGGCUAAUUCCGUG
RNAcentral lists this ribosomal RNA (490 nucleotides) under uncultured bacterium. RNAcentral describes it as "partial 16S ribosomal RNA". It matches the Rfam family "Bacterial small subunit ribosomal RNA", at positions 28 to 507 of the family's 1533-position model. The record is from RNAcentral.